UGGGGAAUUUUGGACAAUGGGCGAAAGCCUGAUCCAGCAAUGCCGCGUGUGUGAAGAAGGCCUUCGGGUUGUAAAGCACUUUUGUCCGGAAAGAAAUCCUUGGCUCUAAUACAGCCGGGGGAUGACGGUACCGGAAGAAUAAGCACCGGCUAACUACGUGCCAGCAGCCGCGGUAAUACGUAGGGUGCAAGCGUUAAUCGGAAUUACUGGGCGUAAAGCGUGCGCAGGCGGUUUGCUAAGACCGAUGUGAAAUCCCCGGGCUCAACCUGGGAACUGCAUUGGUGACUGGCAGGCUAGAGUAUGGCAGAGGGGGGUAGAAUUCCACGUGUAGCAGUGAAAUGCGUAGAGAUGCGGAGGAAUACCGAUGGCGAAGGCAGCCCCCUGGGCCAAUACUGACGCUCAUGCACGAAAGCGUGGGGAGCAAACAGGAUUAGGAUACCCUGGUAGUCCACGCCCUAAACGAUGUCAACUAGUUGUUGGGGAUUCAUUUCCUUAGUAACGUGAGCUAACGCGUGAAGUUGACCGCCU
RNAcentral lists this ribosomal RNA (528 nucleotides) under uncultured bacterium. Its description in RNAcentral is "partial 16S ribosomal RNA". It matches the Rfam family "Bacterial small subunit ribosomal RNA", at positions 355 to 874 of the family's 1533-position model. The record is from RNAcentral.